GACAGAGGUGGCAAGCGUUGUUCGGAAUCAUUGGGCUUAAAGCGUGUGUAGGCGGCGGCGUAAGUGUCGAGUGAAAUGCCAGUGCUCAACGCUGGAACGGCUCGGCAUACUGCGUCGCUUGAGGUCGGUAGAGGCGCCUGGAACUCUAGGUGGAGCGGUGAAAUGCGUAGAUAUCUAGAGGAACGCCUGAGGCGAAAGCGGGGCGCUGGGCCGAUUCUGACGCUGAGACACGAAAGCGUGGGGAGCAAACAGG
RNAcentral lists this ribosomal RNA (253 nucleotides) under uncultured bacterium. Its description in RNAcentral is "partial 16S ribosomal RNA". It matches the Rfam family "Bacterial small subunit ribosomal RNA", at positions 524 to 776 of the family's 1533-position model. The record is from RNAcentral.